AACGUAGGGGGCGAACGUUGUCCGGAAUGACUGGGCGUAAAGGGCGAGUAGGUGGCCUGCCAAGUCAGGAGUGAAAACUGCGGGCUCAACCCGCAGAGUGCUCAUCGAAACUGGCAGGCUUGAGUGCAGGAGAGGGAAGUGGAAUUCCUAGUGUAGCGGUGAAAUGCGUAGAUAUUAGGAGGAACACCAGUGGCGAAGGCGGCUUCCUGGCCUGUAACUGACACUGAGGCGCGAAAGCGUGGGGAGCAAACAGG
This 254-nucleotide ribosomal RNA is filed under the name uncultured bacterium. RNAcentral's name for it is "partial 16S ribosomal RNA". It matches the Rfam family "Bacterial small subunit ribosomal RNA", at positions 524 to 776 of the family's 1533-position model. The record is from RNAcentral.